CCUACGGGUGGCAGCAGUGGGGAAUAUUGGACAAUGGGGGCAACCCUGAUCCAGCCAUGCCGCGUGUGUGAAGAAGGCCCUCGGGUUGUAAAGCACUUUCAGUGAGGAAGAACGCCUGGUGGUUAAUACCCAUCAGGAAAGACAUCACUCACAGAAGAAGCACCGGCUAACUCCGUGCCAGCAGCCGCGGUAAUACGGAGGGUGCGAGCGUUAAUCGGAAUUACUGGGCGUAAAGCGCGCGUAGGUGGCUUGAUAAGCCGGUUGUGAAAGCCCCGGGCUCAACCUGGGAACGGCAUCCGGAACUGUCAAGCUAGAGUGCAGGAGAGGAAGGUAGAAUUCCCGGUGUAGCGGUGAAAUGCGUAGAGAUCGAGAGGAAUACCAGUGGCGAAGGCGGCCUUCUGGACUGACACUGACACUGAGGUGCGAAAGCGUGGGUAGCAAACAGGAUUAGAUACCCUUGUAGUC
RNAcentral lists this ribosomal RNA (465 nucleotides) under Vreelandella stevensii. Its description in RNAcentral is "partial 16S ribosomal RNA". It matches the Rfam family "Bacterial small subunit ribosomal RNA", at positions 338 to 795 of the family's 1533-position model. Lineage: Bacteria; Pseudomonadati; Pseudomonadota; Gammaproteobacteria; Oceanospirillales; Halomonadaceae. The record is from RNAcentral.